This 253-nucleotide ribosomal RNA is filed under the name uncultured bacterium. RNAcentral describes it as "partial 16S ribosomal RNA". It matches the Rfam family "Bacterial small subunit ribosomal RNA", at positions 524 to 776 of the family's 1533-position model. The record is from RNAcentral.
GACGUAGGGCGCGAGCGUUGUCCGGAUUUAUUGGGCGUAAAGAGCUCGUAGGCGGCUUGUCGCGUCGUUCGUGAAAACCCGGGGCUCAACUCCGGGCUUGCGGGCGAUACUAUGGGUCUAGAGCACGAAAGGGGAGAGUGGAACUUCUGGUGGAGCGGUGAAAUGCGCAGAUAUCAGGAGGAACACCGGUGGCGAAGGCGGGUCUCUGGGCCGAUACUGACGCUGAGGAGCGAAAGCGUGGGGAGCAAACAGG